GGGGAUGAAGUGGGUUCGACGGGGAACGGAAGUCCUGGAUGGCAAGCCGAGGUGCCCCAACCUCGUAAAACAGGGGUGAUUAACAAAAAAGUGCCGACUAUGCUGCUGUUCCUAUGGCCGCCUAAAAGAUAGCGGUCACGCUCGCCUCCGCCUUGCCCCGACGGGUGGGGGAGGGAGCGCCAGAGAGUUCGGGGUGCGGUAACCUGACGCCGAUAGGGUUAUCUAAGGGAGCAUCGGCUGGCCUGAGGUGCACCCUGUCGGCCGGGGGCGCUUCAGGCGAGAGGUAAAAGGCCGACUAAGCUUGUAAACCAUCCAGGGCGGAGUUCUCUGGACGCGGGUUCGACUCCCGCCAUCUCCACUU
This 361-nucleotide transfer-messenger RNA is filed under the name Chloroflexota bacterium. RNAcentral's name for it is "Chloroflexi bacterium transfer-messenger RNA". It matches the Rfam family "transfer-messenger RNA". From Rfam's summary of the family: Bacterial tmRNA, also known as 10Sa RNA or SsrA, is named for its dual tRNA and mRNA-like properties. Its role is to liberate the mRNA from a stalled ribosome. Lineage: Bacteria; Bacillati; Chloroflexota. The record is from RNAcentral.